CCUCUUUGGUGAGUAGAGCCAUGUCUGUUUUAGCACCAGUCAUGAACAGUGUUAGGCUCACUCCUAACAUUUAUGGCAUUGAAAAGUAUCUCUGGUUCUUUCCUCUGUUUCCAUGCCCCUAUCCCGCCAACGUGAGAAAUCCUGAGAUUGUCAUAUUCUAAGGAGUACAGUGGGAUUCAACAAAUGCACUAGAGAUGACUUGCUAAGAAAGGAUGAAAUUACAGGGCCGGGAAAAAAACCACAACCCUACUGUUGGCUUCUGAUAAGCCAGUCAAGAGCAAUGUCAGGUGUCAGCCUGCAGCAGAUCCAGCUUCCUGGCAACCCAAAGGAGCACAGUUGGCCCUGAUGGAAGCUGUCUGAUUGACUGUGCUACCUGAUUGGCUGCCAAUUCCCGCAAGCUGAUAUUUAGACUCUGCAGUGGCGGCAGCAGCAGCAGUCCAUGCUCGGUGUCCAGGGCCGGCUCCAGGCACCAGCGAAGGAAGCAGGUGCCUGGGGCAGCCAAUAGAAAGGGGCAGCCCUCCAUCCGUCAUCGGGGCGGCACGUGCGGAUCUUUGGCGGCAAUUCGGCGGCGGGCCCGGCAGUCCCUCUCUCCCUCUUCAGCGGCACCUCAACCAGGGAAUGCUCACUAGACAGAAUGCAAUCAGUCUGGAUGGUCAGUUGGGAAGUGCCAUUAGGAAAACAGGUCUUUGAAGAUACUAAUCUCCCAUCGGGAAGUCUUCCUGGGGAUCAUGCAAACAGCCUCUGAGUUAUGGCAGCAGGGUCAUGUAACCAAGUCACCUGGUACAGGACUUCAUGAAAAUACUAGUAUUUUCCCACUAACCAGGGGUGGGAACCACCCUAGGAGACAAAGGAUUCCCGCCAUAUGCAAAAACUAUUUAAGGCAGGGGAGUGACAUUAUCGUGAUUUGUUCUUCACUAACUCCCUGCCCAAGAAAGAAGGCUGCUGGAAACACCUGAGAAACAAAGAGACUGAGCUGGGGGUGGGUGGGGAGGACUGAGCACAGGCUAGAAGGUAUCUGGCUUGUGAAAGGAAUAUCUGGAGUUUUAAGCUGCAAGCAAGUCUCUGCAAACUGCCUAAAACAUCAUUUAGGAUGAGAAUUUGCUAAUUGUAACCAAUUUCUUUAGUAUAUUAAUCUUAGAUUGUGUUUUGUUUUAUUUGCUGGGUAAUCUGCUUGGAUCUGUUUGCUAUCCCUUGUAAUCACUU
Molecule: long non-coding RNA, 1203 nt
Organism: Dermochelys coriacea (leatherback sea turtle)
Lineage: Eukaryota; Metazoa; Chordata; Testudines; Dermochelyidae
Exons: 3
Source: RefSeq, a predicted model, not a curated record